RNAcentral lists this unclassified non-coding RNA (241 nucleotides) under Phylloporus sp. RNAcentral describes it as "partial contains small subunit ribosomal RNA, internal transcribed spacer 1, and 5.8S ribosomal RNA". The stretch from base 1 to 46 matches the Rfam family "Eukaryotic small subunit ribosomal RNA", at positions 1786 to 1831 of the family's 1831-position model. Lineage: Eukaryota; Fungi; Basidiomycota; Agaricomycetes; Boletales; Boletaceae. The record is from RNAcentral.
AAGUCGUAACAAGGUUUCCGUAGGUGAACCUGCGGAAGGAUCAUUACAAAUCGGUGUAUUGGUUGUGGGGUUGGUUUGUUGGUGGUGGGGUUGGAUGGGUGGGUAUUUAUGCCUGCCCUACCCUUCACCACAACGCUACCAACUAACUAACUCCACCAACCACACAUUUGCGCUUGUUGUGUUUGACAGAGUAAACUAUUCACAAAUGAGACAACUUUUAACAACGGAUCUCUUGGCUCUU